UGGGAAUUUUAGUGCAGGGGUAAAACGAUAAUUUAAAAACUUUUUCAAAAUUAUGAUUUUUACAGUGAAAAAUAUUAAUUAAUCUAAUUAAUUAAUAUAUAUUUAUCCUACACAAAGAUCUAAAUAUGAUAAACAUAACAUGCUUUUAAAUUUGAAUUUCAAAACCUCUACAGCAAAUAUUUUACUAUAAUGUGUUCAGAACAC
This 204-nucleotide long non-coding RNA is filed under the name Elaeis guineensis (African oil palm). RNAcentral describes it as "long non-coding RNA (EGUI_LNC060869)". Lineage: Eukaryota; Viridiplantae; Streptophyta; Magnoliopsida; Arecales; Arecaceae. The record is from RNAcentral.